UGCAGAUGGAUCCAAGUUGAGGACAAGGGCCCCCCCUGGGAAAUGAAGCUGGAUAUCAGCAGGCCAGGCAGUGCCCUUGAACUACCCUGAGAUGGCUCUGCCCAGCUGACCAAGAGACCCAGUUCACUGCUCCUGUGAGCCCUCCAGCAGUAUUCCAGGACUCUGAUGAAGCCUUCACCUUCUGCAAUUUGAAGAUACCAGCUGGGUGGCCUUUGGCAAGAGCCAAGCAGUUGAGCCAGGUCUAUUUUGUGAUGAUGGCAUCAG
Long non-coding RNA from Catharus ustulatus (Swainson's thrush), 264 nucleotides. RefSeq lists it as uncharacterized. The transcript is spliced from 4 exons. The record is from RefSeq and is a predicted model, not a curated record. NCBI's taxonomy places the organism in Eukaryota, Metazoa, Chordata, Aves, Passeriformes, Turdidae.